Molecule: ribosomal RNA, 324 nt
Filed under: uncultured bacterium
Lineage: Bacteria
Description: bacterial SSU rRNA
Rfam family: Bacterial small subunit ribosomal RNA
Source: RNAcentral
GACGAACGCUGGCGGCGUGCUUAACACAUGCAAGUCGAACGGUGACGAGGAGCUUGCUCCUCCGAUCAGUGGCGAACGGGUGAGUAACACGUGAGUAACCUGCCCCAGACCCUCGGGAUAACAGUUGGAAACAGCUGCUAAUACCGGAUACGAGACGGAGAGGCAUCUCUACCGUCUGGAAGAUUUAUCGGUCUGGGAUGGACUCGCGGCCUAUCAGCUUGUUGGUGAGGUAAAGGCUCACCAAGGCGACGACGGGUAGCCGGCCUGAGAGGGCGACCGGCCACACUGGGACUGAGACACGGCCCAGACUCCUACGGGAGGCAG